GACGUAGGGUGCGAGCGUUAAUCGGAAUUACUGGGCGUAAAGAGUGCGUAGGCGGUUUUGUAAGACAGGUGUGAAAUCCCCGGGCUCAACCUGGGAACUGCACUUGUGACUGCAAGGCUAGAGUGUGUCAGAGGGAGGUGGAAUUCCGCGUGUAGCAGUGAAAUGCGUAGAGAUGCGGAGGAACACCGAUGGCGAAGGCAGCCUCCUGGGAUAACACUGACGCUCAGGCACGAAAGCGUGGGGAGCAAACAGGAUUAGAUACCCUGGUAGUCCACGCCCUAAACGAUGUCAACUAGUUGUCGGGGAUUCAUUUCCUUGGUAACGCAGCUAACGCGUGAAGUUGACCGCCUGGGGAGUACGGCCGCAAGGUUAAA
Molecule: ribosomal RNA, 374 nt
Filed under: uncultured bacterium
Lineage: Bacteria
Description: bacterial SSU rRNA
Rfam family: Bacterial small subunit ribosomal RNA
Source: RNAcentral